Molecule: ribosomal RNA, 430 nt
Filed under: Rothia mucilaginosa
Lineage: Bacteria; Bacillati; Actinomycetota; Actinomycetes; Micrococcales; Micrococcaceae
Description: bacterial SSU rRNA
Rfam family: Bacterial small subunit ribosomal RNA
Source: RNAcentral
ACGCUGGCGGCGUGCUUAACACAUGCAAGUCGAACGAUGAAGCCUAGCUUGCUAGGUGGAUUAGUGGCGAACGGGUGAGUAAUACGUGAGUAACCUACCUUUAACUCUGGGAUAAGCCUGGGAAACUGGGUCUAAUACCGGAUACGACCAAUCUCCGCAUGGGGUGUUGGUGGAAAGCGUUAUGUAGUGGUUAUAGAUGGGCUCACGGCCUAUCAGCUUGUUGGUGAGGUAACGGCUCACCAAGGCGACGACGGGUAGCCGGCCUGAGAGGGUGACCGGCCACACUGGGACUGAGACACGGCCCAGACUCCUACGGGAGGCAGCAGUGGGGAAUAUUGCACAAUGGGCGCAAGCCUGAUGCAGCGACGCCGCGUGAGGGAUGACGGCCUUCGGGUUGUAAACCUCUGUUAGCAGGGAAGAAGAGAGAUGA